Molecule: small RNA, 321 nt
Filed under: Caenorhabditis elegans
Lineage: Eukaryota; Metazoa; Nematoda; Chromadorea; Rhabditida; Rhabditidae
Description: Unclassified non-coding RNA Y49F6B.21
Source: RNAcentral
ACGCUACCUGCUCCCAAACACGGACCUAAUCUCCAAAUACGAGUCAUUCAGCAUUCGAAUGGCCCUUUGCCGAAUCCAGGAUGUUCGAUGGUGCCCCGCACCGGAUUGCGGGUCAGUUUUGAUAUGCAAUCGCGCUCCACUGAACACAUUUUUUUGCAGAUUUGCCGUAAUCGUGCCCAAUGGUCAAAAGUGUCCGCGUAUCAAGUGCCAGCGGCCGGGCUGUGGCCGGGAAUUUUGCUUCAAGUGCCGAAAAGUGUGGCAUGAGGGAACCAGGACGUGCUCCAAGACUUUUGAACAGUUGAAGAAGAUUACGGAGAAUGG